GACGAACGCUGGCGGCGUGCCUAAUACAUGCAAGUCGAGCGAAGUUUUUCUGGUGCUUGCACUAGAAAAACUUAGCGGCGAACGGGUGAGUAACACGUAAAGAACCUGCCUCAUAGACUGGGACAACUAUUGGAAACGAUAGCUAAUACCGGAUAACAGUAUUUCUCGCAUGAGAGAUAUUUAAAAGUUGGUUAUGCUAACACUAUGAGAUGGCUUUGCGGUGCAUUAGCUAGUUGGCGGGGUAAAGGCCCACCAAGGCGACGAUCCAUAGCCGACCUGAGAGGAUGAUCAGCCACACUGGAACUGAGACACGGCCCAGACUCCUACGGGAGGCAGCAGUAGGGAAUAUUCCGCAAUGGGCGAAAGCCUGACGCAGCCACACCGCGUGAGUGAAGAAGGCUUUCGGUUCGUAAAGCCCUGUUGUUAGGAAAGAAUAGAUAUAUAGUAACACUACGUGUAAGAGACGGUACCUAAACAGAAAGCAACGGCUAACUACGUG
RNAcentral lists this ribosomal RNA (499 nucleotides) under uncultured bacterium. RNAcentral describes it as "partial 16S ribosomal RNA". It matches the Rfam family "Bacterial small subunit ribosomal RNA", at positions 28 to 507 of the family's 1533-position model. The record is from RNAcentral.